Long non-coding RNA from Oncorhynchus tshawytscha (Chinook salmon), 1728 nucleotides. The record is from Ensembl. Lineage: Eukaryota; Metazoa; Chordata; Actinopteri; Salmoniformes; Salmonidae.
GAGAGAGUGAGAGAGGUGUUUGGGAGGGAGAGUGAGAGAGAUUGAGAUAGAGAGAUUGAGAUCGAUAGAGAGAGAGAGAUGUGGGGGAGGGAGAGUGAGAGAGAUUGAGAUAGAGAGAUUGAGAUAGGCAGAGAGAGAGAGAUAUGUGGGGAGGGAGAGUGAGAGAGAUUGAGAUAGAGAGAGAUGUGGGGAGGGAGAGUGAGAGAGAUUGAGAUAGGUAGAGAGAGAGAGAUGUGGGGGAGGGAGAUUGAGAUAGAGAGAGAUGUAGGGGAGGGAGAGUGAGAGAGAUUGAGAUAGAGAGAGAGAGCGGUAAGUGAUAUCCCUGUUCCAGUGUGCUUUCACCCCUCCCCUCUCCCCUAGGUAGAUAUCUAUCACCACUUUACACCCUCCUGUGUGUGUGUGUCUGUGUGUGUCUGUGUGUGUGUGCAUGCGUGUGUGUGCGUGUGUGUGUGUGUCUUUGUGUGUGUGUGUGUGUGUGUUUGCGUGCGUGCGUGUGUGUGCGUGUGUCUGUGUGUGUGUGUGUGUGCGUGCGUGCGUGUGUGUCUGUGUGUGUGCGUGCGUGCGUGUGUGUGUGUCUGUGUGUGUGCACCUGUAUGCGUGGUAAAUCAACAAGUUCAUCAACAAGUAAAUUAAUCAAACAGUCCUUCAACUAAUUAAUUAGUCACAAAAUCUAUGAAGUGAUCAGCCAGUCAUUAAUAAACCAUUAAAACAGACAGAGGAAACUAACUUGUUAACAGACUAUGUUUGGAAUAUUUAUUUUGCACACAGAAUAGAAUACAGUAGGUUGACUUUUGUACUAUGGGAGACAGUAGAUUGAUAUAGGCUAGUGUUUUUUUCUGUUCGUUACUCAACCUGUUGGCUGACGAAAAGUAAAUGUGGACAGUUCUUCCAAUAUCUUCAAUGUGCACCUCUGAAUUGGAUAAGGACGCGUGCAGUUGUGUCCCCAAUGUGUCUGUCUUCACUUGUAGCCUCCGAGAAAGACCCACACUUACAGUGCUAUGGCAAGAAUAACCAAGUCAACAUCAAGCUUUGUAGUGCUAGGACAAGAAACUAAAUAUGCACUAAGGGCGAGCCCCAGGACCAAGUUUGGAAAACCCUGGGUUAAACAGACACAGACAGACAGACAAACAGACAGACAGACAGACAGACAGACAGACAGACAGACAGACAGACAGACAGACAGACAGACAGACACAGACAGACAGACAGACAGACAGACAGAUCAGACAGACAGGUCUAUAAACCCUGGCUCAGUGGAUUACAUUACUCCUGAUAAUAAUGGAUCAGACUGGCAGAGCUGUUAUUCAACUGAACACAACACCAUUACACACACACACAUAAAGAGGCAGCGCUGCUAGCCAGCUGAACACAGCACCAUUACACACACACACACAUAAAGAGGCAGCGCUGCUAGCCAGCUGAACACAGCACCAUUACACACACACACACAUAAAGAGGCAGCGCUGCUAGCCAGCUGAACACAGCACCAUUACACACACACACAUAAAGAGGCAGCGCUGCUAGCCAGCUGAACACAGCACCAUUACACACACACACAUAAAGAGGCAGCGCUGCUAGCCAGCUGAACACAGCACCAUUACACACACACACAUAAAGAGGCAGCGCUGCUAGCCAGCUGAACACAGCACCAUUACACACACACACACACACAUAAAGAGGCAGCGCUGCUAGCCAGCUGAACACAGCACCAUUACACACACACACACA